AGCUCGCACGGGUGGUUUCGGCCAUCAGUGGCGGACGGGUGAAUAACGCGUAGGAACGUGUCCAGAGGUGGGGGACAACCCCGGGAAACUGGGGCUAAUACCGCAUGGGGGCUGAGGCCCAAAGCCGAGAGGCGCCAUUGGAGCGGCCUGUGUCCGAUUAGGUAGUUGGUGGGGUAUAGGCCUACCAAGCCUGUUAUCGGUAGCUGGUCUGAGAGGACAACCAGCCACACUGGGACUGAGACACGGCCCAUACUCCACGGGAGGCACCAGUGGGGAAUAUUGGACAAUGGGCGAAAGCCUGAUCCAUCAAUGCCGCGUGGGUGAAGAAGGUCUUCGGAUCGUAAAGCCCUUUCGGCGGGGACGAUGAUGACGGUACCCGUAGAAGAAGCUCCGGCUAACUUCGUGCCAGCAGCCGCGGUAAUACGAAGGGGGCUAGCGUUGCUCGGAAUUACUGGGCGUAAAGGGCGCGUAGGCGGCGGCCCAAGUCAGGCGUGAAAUUCCUGGGCCUCAACCUGGGGACUGCGCUUGAUACUGGGUUGCUUGAGGAUGGAAGAGGCUCGUGGAAUUCCCAUUGUAGAGGUGAAAUUCCUACCAUAU
RNAcentral lists this ribosomal RNA (597 nucleotides) under uncultured bacterium. RNAcentral's name for it is "bacterial SSU rRNA". It matches the Rfam family "Bacterial small subunit ribosomal RNA", at positions 60 to 698 of the family's 1533-position model. The record is from RNAcentral.